Molecule: ribosomal RNA, 201 nt
Filed under: uncultured prokaryote
Description: partial 16S ribosomal RNA
Rfam family: Bacterial small subunit ribosomal RNA
Source: RNAcentral
AACGUAGGUGGCAAGCGUUAUCCGGAUUUACUGGGCGUAAAGGGUGUGCAGGCGGGCGGUCAAGUGGUGUAUGAAAUAUCCUGGCUCAACCAGGAGAGGUUAUGCCAGACUGACCGUCUUGAGUGCGGGAGAGGGGCGUGGAAUUCCGGGUGUAGUGGUGAAAUGCGUAGAGAUCCGGAGGAACCCCAGAGGCGAAGGCGG